GAUGAAGAACGUAGCGAAAUGCGAUAAGUAGUGUGAAUUGCAGAAUUCCGUGAAUCAUCGAAUCUUUGAACGCACAUUGCGCCUUCUGGUAUUCCGGAAGGCAUGCCUGUUCGAGAGUCAUUAACAACCGUUUCGAUCCCUUUCUUUCAGAAAUUACAAAGAGGAAAAGGGUUUGGUUAUGGUGGAGGAGGGAAAGGGAGCGUUUAGCCUGUAAAAAAAGAGGCUGUGUUCCGCCUCCCCCCCAAAAUUGUACAGGCGGUCGUGUGCGCCCACGCAUCGAGGUGUUGUAAAAGCUGCCACGGCACUUUUCACCUGUGCAGUGCGAGAUUGGCCAGCCGGUUUAAAAACCCCUCCAAACAAUCAAAGGUUGACCUCGGAUCAGGUAGGACUACCCGCUGAACUUAAGCAUAUCAAUAAGCGGAGGA
Molecule: unclassified non-coding RNA, 425 nt
Filed under: soil metagenome
Description: partial contains 5.8S ribosomal RNA, internal transcribed spacer 2, and large subunit ribosomal RNA
Rfam family: 5.8S ribosomal RNA (bases 1-120)
Source: RNAcentral